UAAACAUAGCCAAGUGGUUAAAGUGUUUGUCUAAGCUGGGUAAAAUGGAAGCGCUUGGUAUUUCUACACCUGUCUCUUUAAAUCUGGGCCUUGGGGCCAAGGUCAGCCCAGCUCUGGAGAUCAGGAAGUGCGUGGAGUCCCUGACACACUAAGCCGCUGGGAAUGUGCAGCUCCAGAAUGGGUUUGCUGGGGCAAAGAAGAGCUUUGCUGGAAGGAUCCAAGCAACCUAAAUUGACUGAUGCUGAAUAUCCCAGAGUUCCAGUGACUCAGGAGACACACACCAUCCAGUACACAGAUAGAUAAAUAUGUAACAAGGUGAAACAGACAAAUCUAGUAAAGAGUAUAAUAUUAAUAAUGACUGAUAAAAGACAAAGUGACUGGCAAGGGACCUAAGCUCCUAACAUCCUAAUGAUUUAUCAUGUUGGCCUGCCCAGGAAAAGUUCUCAGGUGCUGGAUAAGUAAUUGUCAGGAAACUGAUUUGUCCUAAGAGUAUCCUCAAGUGGUGGAAUGGAAGAGACCAUCCAGAGAGAGACAUUGGAGAAUUGGGGUAAACCAGCGGUGGAAGGUAAAAAAUGCAGUGAUGGUUCAUUUCCCGGUGGAUCAUUUCUCAGGCAAGAGAGGCUUGGCUCUCUUCUCAGACACAUUCUCAGGCAC
Molecule: long non-coding RNA, 654 nt
Organism: Mauremys reevesii (Reeves's turtle)
Lineage: Eukaryota; Metazoa; Chordata; Testudines; Geoemydidae
Exons: 3
Source: RefSeq, a predicted model, not a curated record